RNAcentral lists this ribosomal RNA (1932 nucleotides) under Brentus anchorago. RNAcentral's name for it is "SSU rRNA". It matches the Rfam family "Eukaryotic small subunit ribosomal RNA". The record is from RNAcentral. Lineage: Eukaryota; Metazoa; Arthropoda; Insecta; Coleoptera; Brentidae.
UUGUCUCAAAGAUUAAGCCAUGCAUGUCUCAGUACGAGCCAAAUUAAGGUGAAACCGCGAAAGGCUCAUUAAAUCAGUUAUGGUUCCUUAGAUCGUACCCACAAUUACUCGGAUAACUGUGGUAAUUCUAGAGCUAAUACGUGCAAACAGAGUUCCGACCGGAGACGGGAGGAGCGCUUUUAUUAGAUCAAAACCGAUCGGCGGCGGGGGGGCUUCGCGCCACCGUCGUCGUACAACUUGGUGACUCUGAAUAACUUUCGGCCGAUCGCACGGUCUCGCACCGGCGACGCGUCUUUCAAAUGUCUGCCUUAUCAACUGUCGAUGGUAGGUUCCGCGCCUACCAUGGUCGUAACGGGUAACGGGGAAUCAGGGUUCGAUUCCGGAGAGGGAGCCUGAGAAACGGCUACCACAUCCAAGGAAGGCAGCAGGCGCGCAAAUUACCCACUCCCGGCACGGGGAGGUAGUGACGAAAAAUAACGAUACGGGACUCAUCCGAGGCCCCGUAAUCGGAAUGAGUACACUCUAAACCCUUUAACGAGGAUCAAUUGGAGGGCAAGUCUGGUGCCAGCAGCCGCGGUAAUUCCAGCUCCAAUAGCGUAUAUUAAAGUUGUUGCGGUUAAAAAGCUCGUAGUCGAAUUUGUGUCUCGCGCCGCCGGUUCAUCGUCCGCGGUGUCAACUGGCGUGCCGCGAGACGUCCUGCCGGUGGGCUCCGCUUGGCGGAGGCCCGCGUCGUAACCGCGUUCGCGCGCGGGGAGGCGCGUUGCGCGCGGGCCUCCCGCGCCCGUCUCAAUCCCGCCGCGGUGCUCUUCGUUGAGUGUCGAGGCGGGCCGGCACGUUUACUUUGAACAAAUUAGAGUGCUUAAAGCAGGCCGAAAAUUCGCCCGAAUAUCGUGUGCAUGGAAUAAUGGAAUAGGACCUCGGUUCUAUUUUGUUGGUUUUCGGAACCCCGAGGUAAUGAUUAAUAGGAACGGAUGGGGGCAUUCGUAUUGCGACGUUAGAGGUGAAAUUCUUGGACCGUCGCAAGACGAACGGAAGCGAAAGCAUUUGCCAAAAACGUUUUCAUUGAUCAAGAACGAAAGUUAGAGGUUCGAAGGCGAUCAGAUACCGCCCUAGUUCUAACCUUAAACUAUGCCGGCCGGCGAUCCGCCGACGUUCCUCCGAUGACUCGGCGGGCAGCCUACGGGAAACCAAAGCUUUCGGGUUCCGGGGGAAGUAUGGUUGCAAAGCUGAAACUUAAAGGAAUUGACGGAAGGGCACCACCAGGAGUGGAGCCUGCGGCUUAAUUUGACUCAACACGGGAAACCUCACCAGGCCCGGACACCGGAAGGAUUGACAGAUUGAGAGCUCUUUCUUGAUUCGGUGGGUGGUGGUGCAUGGCCGUUCUUAGUUGGUGGAGCGAUUUGUCUGGUUAAUUCCGAUAACGAACGAGACUCUAGCCUGCUAACUAGGCGCCGUUUUCGACAUCGCAAAGGCCCGCCGGCGUAUCGUCGCGGCGUCGUCGUCGUUUCGGCGGCGGCACGCGCGGUCGUCGCGCGCGGUUUUUACUGUCGGCGUACGUACAAAAUCUUCUUAGAGGGACAGGCGGCAUAUAGCCGCACGAGAUUGAGCAAUAACAGGUCUGUGAUGCCCUUAGAUGUUCUGGGCCGCACGCGCGCUACACUGAAGGAAUCAGCGUGUCCUCCCUGGCCGAGCGGUCCGGGUAACCCGCUGAACCUCCUUCGUGCUAGGGAUCGGGGCUUGCAAUUUUUCCCCGUGAACGAGGAAUUCCCAGUAAGCGCGAGUCAUAAGCUCGCGUUGAUUACGUCCCUGCCCUUUGUACACACCGCCCGUCGCUACUACCGAUUGAAUGAUUUAGUGAGGUCUUCGGACCGAUGCGCGGUGGCGUUUCGGCGUCGUCGAUGCGUCCGGGAAGAUGACCAAACUUGAUCAUUU